Molecule: non-coding RNA, 29 nt
Filed under: Mus musculus (house mouse)
Lineage: Eukaryota; Metazoa; Chordata; Mammalia; Rodentia; Muridae
Source: RNAcentral
UGUGAAGGGUNCACUCUGCUCUUUAAGUG